GCGAGUUCUAGAUCUCCGCCUCGGGAACGCGCGCGUAGAAUUUCCAGUCGCAUUUGGUGACGCCAUUUUUAUAUAAUAAUAUCUAGCGAGCCUUUAUUAUUUUCCCUUGAUUAUUAAGAGGGCUUGGGUUAUCUCACAUUACCAGGGGGUUCCGGCGAGUAAAUCCUCAUGGUUUGAGGGGGGGUCGGGACUGGUUACUAGGCGAACACACCCCCUCCAGUUUAUUUCCCUCUUCGCCGCGGCCGCGGGGGAUACUGGGUAAACAUGGCGGCGGGCGGCAGCAGCAAGGCCUCGGCGGGGGCACUGGAAGCUUCUCUGGACCGAAAAAUGCAGUCUGUCACCAACACCAUGGACUCCAUCCAGAGCCUGUCCUCCUGGUGUAUCGAGAACAAAAAGUACCACAGCACCGUCGUGCACCACUGGCUCAAGUGGUUCCGCAGAUCCGGCUUUGGUCAUAGACUUAACCUGUUUUACCUGGCAAACGAUGUCAUUCAGAACUGUAAGAGAAAAAAUGCCAUUGUGUAUCGAGAGGCAUUUGCAGAAGUGUUACCUGAGGCUGCUUCCCUAGUAAAGGAUGCCUCUGUGGCAAAAUCUGUGGAGAGAAUUUUUAAGAUCUGGGAAGAAAGAAAUGUUUACCAAGAGGAUGUAAUUGCGAAUUUCAGAUCAUCUUUGAAUAAGAGUAUGAAAGAUGGAAGUUCUGGAAAAAGAAGUAGAAGUUCUCGUCCUAAACCAGAAAAAGUACAAGAAGCUCCCCCCGUAACUCCAAAAGCUGCAUUAAAAUCGAAGAUUGUGGCUGAAUUUAGGCCCCAGAAACUGAUUGACGAUCUGCAGGUGUAUAAGCGUUCAGUGGACAAUGUUAAACUUAAGGAGCAACAGCUUUCAAACAUGAGAGUUGACGUCUGCAGCACUGAGACCCUGAAACGUUUAAAAGAUAAAGCUGGAGGGAAAAAGUUCUCUAAAGAUUUUGAAGAAGCAAGUGCAAAGCUAGAAGAGUUUGUAGGUCUUCUGGAAAAGCAAGUGAGGAAUGGGCCUCCUUUAACAGAAGCACUGGAGAAUGCUGGUAUAUUCUAUGAAGCACAGUACAGAGAAGUCAAGGUGGUGGUAAAUGCUUACAAGACAUUUGCCAACAGGGUUAACAAUUUAAAGAAAAAGCUUGAUCAGCUAAAAGCUACUCUACCAGAUCCAGAGGAAUCUCCAGUGCCAUCUCCCACAAUAGAUGCUCCGUCACCAACUGGCUCAGAGUCCCCGUUCCAAGGGAUGGGUGAUGUAAGCCCUUUGUCACCUGAGGUAGAGCCUAUCCCACCUAUCUCUCCAGAGCCUCCAAAAGAUAAUCGCAUGGUAGAGGAUAUGGAAUUAUCUGAUGUAGAUGCAGAUGAAGAAGUACCUGACAUUAUUGUUGAAGAAAGAAAAGAGGCCCAAGCUACAUCUACUUUGGCCUCAGAUGCUGUAACUACGUCUUCCACAGAAAAGACCAAUUUCACAACAGCUGCACCAGCGUCAACCCCAGCGCAUGUUCCUGCCAGUCUUCCAACACCUGCUGCAGUCUCUGUUAGUGCCCCUGUUUCUGCACCAGCUCCUACUGUUUCUACUUCUGCAAAAACAGUAACCACUCCCACCGCUGCCCAGUCUGCUUCCCUGGGAUUGCCAAACUUGGCCAAUGUAGAUCUGGGGAAGAUUAGUUCCAUCUUAAGUAGCUUAACUUCAGUUAUGAAGACGGGAGUGAGCCCAGGAGCCAAACCAUCGCCUGGAACACCCACAACACCAACUACCAGUUUAGGUUCUGGACUCAAGACUCCUGUGCAGAUUCCACAAAAUCCUCUGGCAAACAUUUUGUCUAAAGUUGAGAUAACACCAGAAAGUAUACUUUCUGCACUGUCAAAAACUCAAGGUCCUUCCACAUCAUCAUUGCAAGGUUUAUCAUCCUUGAUCCAAAGUGUUGCUGUAAGCACUGCUCAGUCAAGUGGAGCCUUAUCCCACAGUACUUCAACAGCACCAGUCAACAGUACCGUUCCAACUAUGAAAGAUCGUAAUGCUCCAUCUGUUACUCCUCCCUUUGUGUCUAAAAAUUUUGAUUUCUCUCCUAAUUCCACAAAUACAGAAAAUUCUUCCACAUCUCUUUCCAAGACAUCUGUAGGACAUAGUUCAAAUUUAAAGCAGACAUCUAAUACUCUUGGAUUCCCAACUCAAACCCCUUUAUCGACAGAUAAAAGCACAAGUCAGUCAACAGAACUGCCUAAGGCUGCUAGCGAGGCUGAAUCAUCUAGUCUGGAAAUGAAAAUUCACAAUUUUUUAAAGGGUAAUCCAGGCUUUAGUGGUCUAGAUUUGAACAUUCCCAUUCUUAGUGGCUUGGGUACCAAUACAGUUUCUGAACCAACCUCUGAAUUUCAGCGAGGUCCUUCCAGCACAACCCUUGAUAAUGUGGAUGGAACUCCAGUUCGUGAUGAAAGAAGUGGAACUCCAACACAGGAUGAAAUGAUGGAUAAACCAGCUGCAAGCAGUGUUGAUACUGUUUCCUUGUUAUCAAAAAUAAUAAGCCCAGGUUCAUCUACCCCUAGUAGCACAAGAUCUCCCCUUCUGAAUAAGGAUACAGACUUUCAAAAGCUAGGCGGUAUGCCUCCAUAUCGACCUUUUGGUAUUGGAGGAAAUUCACCAAAUGCAUAUUUGCAGCCACCAGAUAGUAGGGGCAAUCCUCCAUUUAUUGAUUCUUCCCUGGAAAAAUUUUAUCCUGAUGCUACUUUUCAAGAGGAUGAAGACUAUCGAGACUUUGAAUAUUCUGGUCCCCCGCCAUCUGCCAUAGGUAAUCUUGAUAAAAGACCUUCAAAAUCCAUCUUAAAAUCGAAUGUGCGCUCAGAGUCUAUAGAUUACCAGCCAAUCCCACCUAUAUUCAGUCAGUCCCAAGAUUUUGGCAGGCAGUCGUUUCCACCUUUACGUUCUUUCAGCACGGGCGAAAACAAUGCCCAAUUGUCCCCAUCUACUCAAAUGUAUGAAACUUACAACAGCUUAAGUAAGCUUGAGGCUCCUAAAUCUCCCUCAACCCCAAAGGAUGACCCAUUUUUCUCCUCUGACAGUCAUAAUUUGCCAGGGUUACAUUCUGGUAUGUCACGAACUCCAUAUACAGAUUCUCCCCGUACUCAAAAUAGAUCCCAUGCUUUUACCAAUAAGAAUACUAGUAGACCACCAAUGUCAAAUAUGGAGCAAACAGACAAUGAUGUGUCAGCUACUUCAACUAUUGAAUUUAAAAACAUGCUUAAAAAUGCAUCUCGUAGGCCAUCUGAUGAGAACCAAUUCAACCAGUCGGGCAAAGGCAAUUUUAAUGAAGAUGUGAAAAUUUCUGGCCUUGGUCAUACUGGUAUGACCUCUGAAGAGAGACAGCUUCAAGAGGAGCAUUAUCGCAUAGAAACAAGGGUGUCAUCUUGUGUUGACUUACCUGACAGUGGUGAAGAAAAAGGUGCUCCAAUUGAGACCCUGGGGUAUCAUAAUUCUGGAAACAUGAGGAUUUCAGGGGAACCUAUAAAAACCGUAGAGUCAGUAAGAGUUGGAGUAAAGGGGAACAGAGGACUUGGCAUAGAUGGAGGUCGAGGGAGUUGGUUUGAAAUGGGUAGCAGAGGUAGUCCAUUUAAUGACGGUCCAUCCAGUGCUGAUGAUGAGCCAUCAGUAAGUGGCAGCAGUGGGGUAGGAGGGUUUGAAACACAGUAUGAUGAGCACUUACCACAGUUUCAAGACACUAUCAGUGAAUUUAGAGCAAAAUCUAUGCAGGCGUUUGAGCAUCGCUUACCUCCGCCUCCAUUACCACCAUCCAUGGUACCUCCUUUAGAUCGUGGAGGACCAUUUCAAAAUGAGCCAGCUGGCCCCCCAUCUGUUCCACCCCCUGGUUUACCACCUGAUCGUUUUUCAAGGGACAUGCCUCCACAUAUGCCCCCUGUAGAAGCUAUCUUGUCUCAUGGUACUCACCCUCCACCCAAUGAACAUGGAGGCAAUCCUUUCUCUGGACCUCCACCUCCAGAACAUGGGGCAAAUCCUUUUUCUGGGCCUCCUCCUCGAGACCAAAUUGGCAUGCCAUUUUCCUCUCCGCCAUUAGAUAUGCGAAAUCCUUUUUCACCAGACCAUGGAAACAUUCAUCAAUCAAUGAAGGAUCAUUUUGGUUUGGGCCCAGGACUACAGAGAGACCUUGGAGCUUUACCUCGUGAUCACAAUGGCCCAAUGCUUGGUAGAUUAAAUGAAACACAAGUUCAUUCUAGAGACCAUCUUGGAAACUUUAGUGCUCCUCCACAUCAUUUUAAUGCACCACAUCACAGAGACAAUGUUGGUGGCCUCAGAUCGCACCGACCACAAUUUAGGCCCAGGGAACAAUAUCAAAGCUUAAAAAGGCCAAGGCCACCUUUUGCACGAGGUCCACCAUUUUUUACCCCAAAACGUCCCUUCUAUCCCCCAAGGUACUGAUACAAAAGUGUAAAAUCAUUAACGUGCAUUGGUACUGGUCCACAUUGGCUGUUAUUUGGUCAGGGAGUUUUGUGUUAGUUGAAAAUAGCUUAAACCUGGAAAGCUAACAACAAGAUUUUCAUUUUUCCUGGUGUAAGGCCACAGAUAUAAAGUCACUUUACAAAAAGUUGACUUUUUAGUGGAGGAAUUUUUUUUUUUUUUGAUUGUAAGAAACACCCAUCCAUUUGCCCACCCAUUCUGAUGUCUACUUCAUCAACCAGUCAGCAGCUGGGUGAAUAUUGCAGUUGUCCUGAAGUGAAAUCUGAUGCCUAAAUAUUCAUGUCUGAGUCACAAUAUGGAGCCAGUGAACUGUUUCGUCUGCUCAAUUCUCAACACCUCUGAAGCCUAUCCUGAAUCAACCCAUUGCUUUCUUAUAUCCAGAUAGGUCUGCCCUGGAAGCCAAGGGCCCGCAGUUCUGACUGGUUGCCAGUUGCUGUUAAGACUGAUCUAUGCCAGUGUUUUUUUUUAUAGGAAAAUACACUAAACAACCCCCCAAAAAAAUCUGGAAAAAUUCCUAUCUCUCAUUAUUAUUCUACACGGGAACCCUAGAAUGCAUUGAACAAUUUUAAUGGCACCUUUUAAGAAGGUUGUAAGAAAUAUUUGGAUUUCGGGCAGGUAAUUCUCCUUUUAUUUUUUAAUAAACUGACCUGUCAUGAUGAUGUAGAGAAAAACACAUAUUGUGUGUGUGCACCAUACUGAACAUGAAGAACAGAAAAAAACAGAAGAGACUUGAAAGGAAACAUGGACAAUGCAGAGGUCAAGCCCAACUUAGAGACCUUAAGUUUCCAGUGUCCACAAUAGACAAAGUUAACAAGACGUUUUAGGCCCAUGGCUUUGUAGCCAAUCUCCCUGGAUGUAGAUGCAAGACAAAAAUUAAUCAAAUGUUACGGAAAAGGUUUAUUCGAAUUCUGGUACAAAAUCAACUUCCAGAGAGAUUCAAGGGGGCAAAAUGGUGGGAUACCCAACUGCUGACAGAAACAUAAAAAAGCCCAAUUUGAGUUUGCAAAACCUUAAGCUAAAAUGCCUCUGGGAUGAAAUAAAAUUAGAACUUAUUAGCAUCUCUUAGUUUACUGGGAAAAAAAUGAAGCAGUGGAAGAAGAGAACACCAUCCCUGUUGUCCUUAUUGCUGAUGUGUCUAGGUUGCUUUGCUGCCUCUUGAUGAGUCUGUGCACAACAUCAUGAUAUUGUGAGAUUACCAAGGCAUUUUGGAACACGUUAUUGAACCCAAUGUCUAAAAGAUGGCUCUCCAACACAGAUCAUGGCUCUUCCAGCAGGACAGUGGUCCACAACACAACUCAAAAAAAAAAAGUUAUGGUUAAUGCCAAAAUGCUAUACUGAAGGGGCAGCAAUGAUUACAGAUAUAAAUUCCACUCAAGAUCCCGGGAAAAGCUCUACAAUCUGCAGUUGGAAAUUCCUGUAAAAAGAAUCAUGGAACCCUGGUUUUAUCUGCUUCAGACUUUAUUUUGCCAAUAGUUUUGGCCCUUGUUUGUACAAGUAAUAAUUGUGCAGAGCAACAGUGUCAUCGUUUUAUAAGCACAAUAUUGUCUUCAUGCACUUACAGUAAAUAUUUCAUACAGA
This is an RNA transcript of Xenopus tropicalis (tropical clawed frog), 6057 nucleotides long. It is a transcript of the gene named regulation of nuclear pre-mRNA domain containing 2, with no coding region annotated. NCBI's taxonomy places the organism in Eukaryota, Metazoa, Chordata, Amphibia, Anura, Pipidae. The transcript is spliced from 13 exons. The record is from RefSeq and is a predicted model, not a curated record.